GAUGAACGCUGGCGGCGUGCCUAAUACAUGCAAGUCGAGCGAACAGACGAGGAGCUUGCUCCUCUGACGUUAGCGGCGGACGGGUGAGUAACACGUGGAUAACCUACCUAUAAGACUGGGAUAACUUCGGGAAACCGGAGCUAAUACCGGAUAAUAUAUUGAACCGCAUGGUUCAAUAGUGAAAGACGGUUUUGCUGUCACUUAUAGAUGGAUCCGCGCCGCAUUAGCUAGUUGGUAAGGUAACGGCUUACCAAGGCGACGAUGCGUAGCCGACCUGAGAGGGUGAUCGGCCACACUGGAACUGAGACACGGUCCAGACUCCUACGGGAGGCAGCAGUAGGGAAUCUUCCGCAAAGGGCGAAAGCCUGACGGAGCAACGCCGCGUGAGUGAUGAAGGUCUUGGGAUCGUAAAACUCUGUUAUUAGGGAAGAACAAAUGUGUAAGUAACUAUGCACGUCUUGACGGUACCUAAUCAGAAAGCCACGGCUAACUACGUG
RNAcentral lists this ribosomal RNA (497 nucleotides) under uncultured bacterium. Its description in RNAcentral is "partial 16S ribosomal RNA". It matches the Rfam family "Bacterial small subunit ribosomal RNA", at positions 28 to 507 of the family's 1533-position model. The record is from RNAcentral.